CCUACGGGAGGCUUCAGUGGGGAAUAUUGGACAAUGGGGGCAACCCUGAUCCAGCCAUGCCGCGUGUGUGAAGAAGGCCCUCGGGUUGUAAAGCACUUUCAGUGAGGAAGAACGCCUGGUGGUUAAUACCCAUCAGGAAAGACAUCACUCACAGAAGAAGCACCGGCUAACUCCGUGCCAGCAGCCGCGGUAAUACGGAGGGUGCGAGCGUUAAUCGGAAUUACUGGGCGUAAAGCGCGCGUAGGUGGCUUGAUAAGCCGGUUGUGAAAGCCCCGGGCUCAACCUGGGAACGGCAUCCGGAACUGUCAAGCUAGAGUGCAGGAGAGGAAGGUAGAAUUCCCGGUGUAGCGGUGAAAUGCGUAGAGAUCGGGAGGAAUACCAGUGGCGAAGGCGGCCUUCUGGACUGACACUGACACUGAGGUGCGAAAGCGUGGGUAGCAAACAGGAUUAGAUACCCCUGUAGUC
RNAcentral lists this ribosomal RNA (465 nucleotides) under Vreelandella stevensii. RNAcentral's name for it is "partial 16S ribosomal RNA". It matches the Rfam family "Bacterial small subunit ribosomal RNA", at positions 338 to 795 of the family's 1533-position model. The record is from RNAcentral. Lineage: Bacteria; Pseudomonadati; Pseudomonadota; Gammaproteobacteria; Oceanospirillales; Halomonadaceae.